CGCUGUUCCCGGUGCUGGUGCGGUUCGACCCCCCCAGUGAGUAGGGUCCGACUGCGUCCUGCAAGACGGGGGCGUGUAUUUUGAGGAGGCGUGUCUUGUAAGGAGGGCGUGUAUUUAGUCGGCCCUGAUUGGUCUGAUUCACGACGGCGUCUGGCGUCACACAUAGCCUCGUGCAGAGCCAUAAUCUAUUCUAUUUGACAUUUGCGGAUCUCUUCUCUUGUCGAACCUACUCCGGAGAUGUAACGAACUGGUCAACAGCAGUUAGAUAGCAGAAAGAUGAUUGCCUCGAUUGAUUUGAUCCAUCCAACUGUCUGCAAACAUGGAUCUCUGAUGCAGCCAGUGCGGUUGGGAGAUUCUUACGGGUGCCAAGUUUGCAGAAAAUUUGGCGAUUACCCAGCCAUGGUUGCACAUGUUCAAACACAUGACAAAGCAGCCAUAUCUCACAAUGGCUACAAAAUCUAUAGGUGCCAACACAACUGUGCCAACACAAGAUCUCCACACUACCACUGUGUGUGCUCAACCAUUACUGGCAGCAAAACUUCAUGCAUAAAGCACCUGCAGACCUGCCCUGGCAUGAGGACACCACCUCCAUCUCAAAGCCUCAGCACGCCGAGCCCAAUGCCAGCCACGCACCCGCCACCUCCAUCUCAAGGCCUCAGCACGCCGAGCCCAAUGCCAGCCACGCACCCGCCACCUCCAUCUCAAGGCCUCAGCACGCCAACCCAAUGCCAGCCACGCACCCGCCACCUCGAUCUCAAGGCCUCAGCACGCCGAGCCCAAUGCCAGCCACGCACCCGCCACCUCCAUCCAAAAUAAAACGUGUGCCGAGGACCACUUGUUGCUUUUGCAACUUAGUUCUGAGCAAGAAGAACAUCAAACUGCACAUAAGAAGGCGGCACUCCUCUAGGGCACCUGACAUAAAUCAGGAAAGGCAUCUUGCCUCUGUGUGUGUGGACCACCUGAAAGGAAUUUUUGUGGUAAGGAGAAGCUUCACUGGACCAGCGAACCCAGUCCAUGUACAAAGAUG
This 1027-nucleotide long non-coding RNA is filed under the name Gadus morhua (Atlantic cod). RNAcentral describes it as "lncRNA (ENSGMOG00000022313.1)". Lineage: Eukaryota; Metazoa; Chordata; Actinopteri; Gadiformes; Gadidae. The record is from RNAcentral.